Triticum aestivum (bread wheat) is the source of this 662-nucleotide long non-coding RNA. RefSeq lists it as uncharacterized. Lineage: Eukaryota; Viridiplantae; Streptophyta; Magnoliopsida; Poales; Poaceae. The record is from RefSeq and is a predicted model, not a curated record. The transcript has 3 exons.
GCACGCCGUCGUCCGGCUCUCACCACACCGACCUCCAUGCCGUUGUCGGGAACUCCCCCGCCACAAGAUUCUCCCGUUCAGGUAGCGGACAGUUCGCCACAAGAUUCUCCCGUGCAGAUCCUGAACGGGAGUAAGCAAAUUAGUUCCUGGAACUUCUCUGUCGGGAUGCACAUGCCAUAAGAACAACUGUAGCCGCCAUCGCCGCCGGUUAUGGAGCUCCACACCAUUGCCCAGUUGCAUGAGAGCAUGUUCAAUCUUCUCCAUUCAAUACUAUGUACAAAUGGUGAACUCUUUGGCAAACAAGAAGAUAUGAGGAUUAGGCAUAUACGCCCCAUAAGGAACGUGGAGAGAUGGUGGGCUCCAAGGAGAUAGCGAUGUUGUCGCGCUUGCAGCUUGUCGAAGGGUUAGUAGAUGAUGCUCAAUGCCAUAAACCUGCACUGAUCUUCACUCAUGUCAUCUGAUAGAAGUCUAUUGAAUUUCAAUUAACUUUUGCUGUAUGUUAUCCAUGAUGUAAGUAGAGAUAGGAAGGUCCAAAAAAAAUUGAAGCACAAGGGGGAUGGUCACAAAUGAUUUACUUGGUAAAAUGUUUGUGAAGUAUGGCAAAUUAUGACCUUAGCAAAACUUUUAUUUACAUAUAUUCAUAUAUACUUUGAAUAUUAGAA